This 344-nucleotide unclassified non-coding RNA is filed under the name Paganuccia icatuensis. Its description in RNAcentral is "partial external transcribed spacer". Lineage: Eukaryota; Viridiplantae; Streptophyta; Magnoliopsida; Gentianales; Rubiaceae. The record is from RNAcentral.
ACGUUACCGAAGUCGUUCGAAAUAGGCCAUCAAGCCUUUUGCGGACAGAUAGGAGCCGAAGACUCCGUGCCCUCAUCGUUUUCUGCAUCCCAGCGCCCGAGCGAGAAUUCAUGGACCCCGAAACCGACACGGAACGUGCAGUAUGGGGGACACGAAACCCGUUUCGAGUUUCACCCGCGACCGCACCGAUUUAACGAACAGCCUAAGGCAAACGGCUUGAGAUUGACAACCGAAUUCCGUCGAGUAGGUACGAAAUACAGGAAACCCACGGUCGGCCAAUAAAAUUGUGCCAACAAUGAAGAGGAUAGCAAGAUCGGACGUCGCUGCACAGGGCAGGGAUCCAA